This 457-nucleotide ribosomal RNA is filed under the name uncultured bacterium. Its description in RNAcentral is "SSU rRNA". It matches the Rfam family "Bacterial small subunit ribosomal RNA", at positions 26 to 521 of the family's 1533-position model. The record is from RNAcentral.
AGGAUGAACGCUGGCGGCGUGCCUAAUACAUGCAAGUCGAGCGGUAAGGCUACUUCGGUAGUACACGAGCGGCGGACGGCUGAGUAACACGUAGGAACGUACCCCAAAGUGAGGCAUAAGCACCAGAAAUGGUGUCUAAUACCGCAUGUGAUCUUCGGAUUAAAGCUUCGGCGCUUUGGGAACGGCCUGCGCAUGAUUAGCUUGUUGGUGAGGUAAUAGCUCACCAAGGCGACGAUCAUUAGCUGGUCUGAGAGGAUGACCAGCCAGACUGGGACUGAGAACGGCCCAGACUCCUACGGGAGGCAGCAGUAGGGAAUUUUCCACAAUGGGCGAAAGCCUGAUGGAGCAACGCCGCGUGCAGGAUGAAGGCUCUCGGGUCGUAAACUGCUUUUAUAUGUGAAGAUUAUGACGGUAGCAUAUGAAUAAGGAUCGGCUAACUCCGCGCCAGCGCCGCGGU